GAGUCUGGGUAGCUCAGUCGGUAGAGCAUCAGACUAUUAAUCUGAGGGUCCACGGUCAGGUGUUAGUGCUUUGUUCA
This is a non-coding RNA of Characodon lateralis, 77 nucleotides long. Lineage: Eukaryota; Metazoa; Chordata; Actinopteri; Cyprinodontiformes; Goodeidae. The record is from the annotation of a GenBank genome assembly.